This 462-nucleotide ribosomal RNA is filed under the name uncultured Sphingobacteriales bacterium. Its description in RNAcentral is "bacterial SSU rRNA". It matches the Rfam family "Bacterial small subunit ribosomal RNA", at positions 920 to 1382 of the family's 1533-position model. The record is from RNAcentral. Lineage: Bacteria; Pseudomonadati; Bacteroidota; Sphingobacteriia; Sphingobacteriales.
CCCGCACAAGCGGAGGAACAUUGUGGUUUAAUUCGAUGAUACGCGAGGAACCUUACCUGGGCUUAAAUGUAGAGUGCAUUUUUUAGAGAUAGAAAUUCCCUUCGGGGCUUUCUGCAAGGUGCUGCAUGGUUGUCGUCAGCUCGUGCCGUGAGGUGCCGGGUUAAGUCCCAUAACGAGCGCAACCCUUAUCGUUAGUUGCCAGCUGGUAAAGCAGGGGACUCUAGCGAAACUGCCACCGUAAGGUGAGAGGAGGGUGGGAUGACGUCAAAUCAGCACGGCCCUUAUGUCCAGGGCUACACACGUGUUACAAUGGCCGGCACAGAGGGCAGCUACCUGGUGACAGGAUGCUAAUCUCGAAAACCGGUCUCAGUUCGGAUCGAAGUCUGCAACUCGACUUCGUGAAGCUGGAUUCGCUAGUAAUCGCGCAUCAGCCAUGGCGCGGUGAAUACGUUCCCGGGCCUU